This 773-nucleotide ribosomal RNA is filed under the name uncultured Neocallimastigales. Its description in RNAcentral is "partial large subunit ribosomal RNA". It matches the Rfam family "Eukaryotic large subunit ribosomal RNA", at positions 24 to 621 of the family's 3401-position model. The record is from RNAcentral. Lineage: Eukaryota; Fungi; Neocallimastigomycota; Neocallimastigomycetes; Neocallimastigales.
UAUGUGAUCGUCUCUCGCAUAUCAAUAAGCGGAGGAAAAGAAACUAACAAGGAUUCCCCUAGUAACGGCGAGUGAAGCGGGAAGAGCUCAAAUUUGAAAUCUUAAAGGGUUUCCCUUUACGAAUUGUAGUUUAAAGAAGUGUUUUCUGUUGAUGUUUUGGUAAAAGUUCUUCGGAAUAGGACAUCAUAGAGGGUGAGAAUCCCGUAUUCGACCUUUACUUUCAACUUUGUGAUACACUUUCAAAGAGUCGGAUUGUUUGGGAAUGCAGUCCAAAAUGGGUGGUAAAUUUCAUCUAAAGCUAAAUAUUGGCGAGAGACCGAUAGCGAACAAGUACCGUGAGGGAAAGAUGAAAAGAACUUUGAAAAGAGAGUUAAACAGUACGUGAAAUUGUCAAAAGGGAAGCGUUUGACACCAGUGUUGUUUUUCUGAAAAUCAAUUAAAGAACUGUUUAUGCUAAGCUGUUUAGACUUUAUCAGCUAACUGUUUAGUUUUGAGCUUUUCUUUAAUGCACUUUUCAGUUAACAAGUCAACAUCAUUUCUUUUGCUGUAAAAAAGCUUGAGGAAGGUGGCUUGAGAUUCGUCUUAAGUGUUUAUAGCCUCUUGCCUAUGCAGUCGGAGAGAUUGAGGUCUGCAGCGUAGAUCCUUCGGGGCUAAAUGCAUUUGUGCUAAGUUAUAGCAUUUUAUAGACAACUUGUUGACUAUGAUUUGUCUUGUAGCUUACUCGCUUAUGUUAUUUUACCUACGCUUAGGAUGUUGAUAUCGCGCUCUCACUG